Molecule: ribosomal RNA, 490 nt
Filed under: uncultured bacterium
Lineage: Bacteria
Description: partial 16S ribosomal RNA
Rfam family: Bacterial small subunit ribosomal RNA
Source: RNAcentral
AUUGAACGCUGGCGGCAGGCCUAACACAUGCAAGUCGAACGGUAACAGGGAUCAGCUUGCUGAUUCGCUGACGAGUGGCGGACGUGUGAGUAAUGUCUGUGAAACUGCCUGAUGGAGGGGGAUAACUACUGGAAACGGUAGCUAAUACCGCAUAACGUCGCAAGACCAAAGAGGGGGACCUUCGGGCCUCUUGCCAUCGGAUGUGCCCAGAUGGGAUUAGCUAGUAGGUGGGGUAACGGCUCACCUAGGCGACGAUCCCUAGCUGGUCUGAGAGGAUGACCAGCCACACUGGAACUGAGACACGGUCCAGACUCCUACGGGAGGCAGCAGUGGGGAAUAUUGCACAAUGGGCGCAAGCCUGAUGCAGCCAUGCCGCGUGUAUGAAGAAGGCCUUCGGGUUGUAAAGUACUUUCAGCGGGGAGGAAGGGAGUAAAGUUAAUACCUUGGCUCAUUGACGUUACCCGCAGAAGAAGCACCGGCUAACUACGUG